AAUGCUCGUUAACUCAGAAAUGUCAUUCUAAAUAUCCAGACAUAGACACACAAUCUCUGUCCUCAAACAGCUUGUGACAUAAAUGAGGAGACAAGUUAAGCCCACAGAAAAUAGCCAGAGACUGUUGCACUAUUUCUUAGAAUCCACUGUGAUGCAGACUCUGAGAGGUGUGUCUUCUGGUCAUGUACUUGGGAGCUAUUUAUGCACACAUUAUGCACCUGUACUUUGCUGAGCACUCAAGUCAGAAAUUAAUAAAACACUUUGCUUUAAAGUUACUUACAGUCUGUUGAGGCAAAACUGACAUUUUCUCAAUUUUUCUCAAUUCCACUGGUAUUAAUUGAAAGCUUAGUGUCCCAGGAGUGCUCUCAAGGAAAUAAAAAAACAAACAGACAUGUUACCUUCCAUUAUGAAACUUGUACUCUAGUGAAGAGUGGGGUGGUAGUAAACAAGACAAUUUCCAGUAGUAACACGUGGUAUACAGUAACUGGGAAUGACAGUGGGGAGCUACUUUAGACUGGGUGGACAGAGAAGACCUUUCUGAGUAGUUGCCACAGGAUCUAACACCUCGUGUUGAGAAGGAGCCACCCAUUACAAGAGUUAUAAGAAAACAUUUUAAACAGAAGUAGCCUUAAGAGCAAAGGCAGAUUCUAGGAGGAUGUAGCAGUUGUCUACAACAGAAAUUAGUAAACUUUUUCUGUAAAGGACAGGAUAGUAAAUAUUUUAUGUUUUGGUUGGACAGUAUCUGUCACAGUUACUCAACUCUUCUCUUGUAACACAAAAACAGCAAUAGACAAUAUAUAAGUAACGGGCUUGAGUGUGUGCCAAUAAAACUUUAUUUACAAAAUCAGGCAGAGGGCAUAACUGGCCUGCCAGCUGUAGUUUGCCAAUCCAUGGUUUACAAUGUUAGACAAAGGACUUGCACAUACUGCAAGAUGUAGCAGACUGUGGUUUCUAAGGUGGUCAUACCGCUAUAUCCCAUCUCAAAUGCUCCAAUUACAAUGUUUUGUUGGCAUUCCUCCACCUGGAAAUGGAUUGUAUACUCCCUGUCCUUGAAUUUGAGUGUGCCUGGGACUACAGAAGAUGUGUGCCGCAUGACUUCUGAGGCUAAAUCAUAAAAGAUGAGGCAGUUUUCAUCACCUUUUUUUGGGAUUCACAGCUUAAGAGUUUUGAGCUUACACAUAGAAGAUUAAUCUCCUCUGAAUCUGCUCUGCUGGAGAGAUCACCUGGAGAACCUACAUAGAGUCCUAGCUCUCACCCAUUUCAGUCUUCCCAGCGCAAGUGCUGGCCAAGUGCGUGAAAUGAGAUGAGAAUGCAGUACCUUCUUAGGUAAUUAAUGAUUCAACAUGGUGCCUUUGCAAAAUGAAAUUGAAGCGGCUGGAAGCCUCAUUUGCAGCCAUAAGAAUUCAAAGGAC
RNAcentral lists this long non-coding RNA (1412 nucleotides) under Equus caballus (horse). Its description in RNAcentral is "lncRNA (ENSECAG00000047703.1)". Lineage: Eukaryota; Metazoa; Chordata; Mammalia; Perissodactyla; Equidae. The record is from RNAcentral.